GAUGAACGCUGGCGGUGUGCCUAAUACAUGCAAGUCGAGCGACCAAACAGUAAGCUCUUUCUUUUACCGUUGGCGACGGACGGGUGAGUAACGGGUGCAUAACCACCUACUAUUACGUGGAUAGCUCCGGAAAGCGACAUUAACUACUGUCGAAUAUAUUCAACGGCUUGUUUCAUUAGUUAAUCUGGGUUUUCCUGAUUCUAUUAGCCGAUUCCCCGCCGCAUUAGCUGGUUGGUAAGGUACCGGCGUACCAAGGCAACGAUGCGUAGCCGACCUGAGAGGGUGAUCAGCCACACUGGAACUGAGACACGGUCCAGACUCCUACGGGAGGCAGCAGUGGGGAAUCUUCCGCAAUGGGCGAAAGCCUGACGCAGCAACACCGCGUGAGUGAUGAAGGUCUUCGGGUUGUAAAACUCUGUUAUUAGGGAAGAAAAAAUGUGGAAGAAAAUACGCACGUCUUGACGGUACCUAAUGAGAAAGCCACGGCUAACUACGUG
RNAcentral lists this ribosomal RNA (497 nucleotides) under uncultured bacterium. RNAcentral describes it as "partial 16S ribosomal RNA". It matches the Rfam family "Bacterial small subunit ribosomal RNA", at positions 28 to 507 of the family's 1533-position model. The record is from RNAcentral.